UAGUAACGGCGAGUGAAGAGGGAAAAGCUCAAAUUUUGAAUCUGGUGUCUUUGGCGCCCGAGUUGUAAUCUAGAGAAGUGUUUUCUGCCUCGGACCACACAUAAAUUCCCUGGAAUGGGGUGUCAUAGAGGGUGAGAAUCCCGUUUGUGGUGUGGACUACCUUGGCUCUGUGAUACACUCUCAACGAGUCGAGUUGUUUGGGAAUGCAGCUCAAAAUGGGUGGUAAAUUCCAUCUAAAGCUAAAUAUUGGCGAGAGACCGAUAGCGAACAAGUACCGUGAGGGAAAGAUGAAAAGCACUUUGGAAAGAGAGUGAAACAGUACGUGAAAUUGUUGAAAGGGAAGCGUUUGAAGUCAGUCACAUCGGUUGGAAUUCAGCCUGGCUUUGCCUGGUGUACUUUCUGGCAGAUGGGUCAGCGUCAAUUUUGACUGAGGGAAAAAGACUUGAGGAAUGUGGCUGUCUUUGGGCAGUGUUAUAGCCUCUUGUUGUAUGUCUCAGUUGGGAUUGAGGACCGCAGCACGCCUUAUGGCCGGGGUUCGCGCCCUCGGAACGUGCUUAGGA
RNAcentral lists this ribosomal RNA (560 nucleotides) under uncultured Sebacinales. RNAcentral describes it as "eukaryotic LSU rRNA". It matches the Rfam family "Eukaryotic large subunit ribosomal RNA", at positions 81 to 618 of the family's 3401-position model. Lineage: Eukaryota; Fungi; Basidiomycota; Agaricomycetes; Sebacinales. The record is from RNAcentral.